Molecule: ribosomal RNA, 84 nt
Filed under: Inhella gelatinilytica
Lineage: Bacteria; Pseudomonadati; Pseudomonadota; Betaproteobacteria; Burkholderiales; Sphaerotilaceae
Description: Bacterial small subunit ribosomal RNA
Rfam family: Bacterial small subunit ribosomal RNA
Source: Rfam by way of RNAcentral
GAACUGUAGAGUUUGAUCCUGGCUCAGAUUGAACGCUGGCGGCAUGCCUUACACAUGCAAGUCGAACGGUAACGCGGGGCAACC